Podarcis lilfordi (Lilford's wall lizard) is the source of this 79-nucleotide non-coding RNA. The record is from the annotation of a GenBank genome assembly. Lineage: Eukaryota; Metazoa; Chordata; Lepidosauria; Squamata; Lacertidae.
GUUUGGGGAUGCCUGGUUUAGUUGGUAGAACAUGAGACUCUUAAUCUCAUGGUCCUCGGUUCAAGCCCCACCCUGGGCA